RNAcentral lists this non-coding RNA (62 nucleotides) under Pseudomonadales bacterium. Its description in RNAcentral is "Xanthine-I sequence". It matches the Rfam family "Xanthine riboswitch aptamer (NMT1 RNA)". Rfam says of the family: Later it was reported as a ncRNA that recognised Xanthine. The record is from RNAcentral. Lineage: Bacteria; Pseudomonadati; Pseudomonadota; Gammaproteobacteria; Pseudomonadales.
ACUGCGAGUAGAAGCGGUUAGCGUCCGAUCACCUCUGAUCGGCGUGGGACAUUGCUCUUGCG